UUCUUCGUGGUGUAGUGGUUAGCACGCUCGACGCGUAACCGAGAGGUCCGUGGUUCGAUUCCCGGUGAAGGCG
This 73-nucleotide transfer RNA is filed under the name Stegodyphus mimosarum. It matches the Rfam family "tRNA". From Rfam's summary of the family: Transfer RNA (tRNA) molecules are approximately 80 nucleotides in length. The record is from Rfam by way of RNAcentral. Lineage: Eukaryota; Metazoa; Arthropoda; Arachnida; Araneae; Eresidae.